This 307-nucleotide RNase P RNA is filed under the name Mycobacterium canetti CIPT 140070010. RNAcentral describes it as "Mycobacterium canettii CIPT 140070010 ribonuclease P RNA". It matches the Rfam family "Bacterial RNase P class A", at positions 40 to 320 of the family's 367-position model. From Rfam's summary of the family: Ribonuclease P (RNase P) is a ubiquitous endoribonuclease, found in archaea, bacteria and eukarya as well as chloroplasts and mitochondria. Lineage: Bacteria; Bacillati; Actinomycetota; Actinomycetes; Mycobacteriales; Mycobacteriaceae. RNAcentral also lists the same sequence under 1 other name. The record is from RNAcentral.
GUCGAGGAAAGUCCGGACUUCACAGAGCAGGGUGAUUGCUAACGGCAAUCCGAGGUGACUCGCGGGAAAGUGCCACAGAAAACAGACCGCCAUCCUCGUGGUGGCAAGGGUGAAACGGUGCGGUAAGAGCGCACCAGCAUUCCGGGUGACCGGGGUGGCUAGGCAAACCCCACCCGAAGCAAGGCCAAGAAGGCCGCACCGAAAGUGCGGCCGCGCAGGCGUUCGAGGGUUGCUCGCCCGAGCCUGCGGGUAGGCCGCUCGAGGCACCCGGCAACGGUGUGUCCAGAUGGAUGGUCGCCGCCGUGCC